Molecule: ribosomal RNA, 263 nt
Filed under: uncultured Staphylococcus sp.
Lineage: Bacteria; Bacillati; Bacillota; Bacilli; Caryophanales; Staphylococcaceae
Description: partial 16S ribosomal RNA
Rfam family: Bacterial small subunit ribosomal RNA
Source: RNAcentral
CGGACGGGUGAGUAACACGUGGAUAACCUACCUAUAAGACUGGGAUAACUUCGGGAAACCGGAGCUAAUACCGGAUAAUAUAUUGAACCGCAUGGUUCAAUAGUGAAAGACGGUUUUGCUGUCACUUAUAGAUGGAUCCGCGCCGCAUUAGCUAGUUUGUAAGGUAACGGCUUACCAAGGCAACGAUGCGUAGCCGACCUGAGAGGGUGAUCGGCCACACUGGAACUGAGACACGGUCCAGACUCCUACGGGAGGCAGCAGCC